Molecule: long non-coding RNA, 1572 nt
Organism: Sorex araneus (European shrew)
Lineage: Eukaryota; Metazoa; Chordata; Mammalia; Eulipotyphla; Soricidae
Exons: 3
Source: RefSeq, a predicted model, not a curated record
AAAAUGAAGGAGGAACACAAAGGAUCUGAAAAAUUAAACGCAGAGAAGGUGGGAUUUUAAGAGAUAAGCAAAGAUGUUUUUGAGGCAAAAAUAGGCAGAGGGCACAUACGACAGCGCACAGCGAUAGAAUUAGACUUCUGCUGGGGGAGGACGACUUGGCCCAGGUCAACAGCGUAAGAGACCUGAAGCAGUAAAUGCGAGCAGAUGUACCCUACCAUCAGCACCGGGGGUUCCAGGGCCAGCUUGGCCACUGAAGAACAACUGUCCUCGGGGAAACCUCGAGCUCUGUCACCUCGACCACAGGAACAGCUGCUCUCUCUGGAAGUCCAGAAGCAGAGACCCAAGACUGCUGCCCUCCUCUGUGCGAAUCACUCACCAGGGUCUCAAACAGCACCCAUCUGACACGCACCUUUGGACUUCCUCUCCCCAAACUGGCUCUCCAUUUAAGUAAAUAAAAAUACUUCCAAAGUCCUCAGAGCCCAAAUAAUGAAGUUAUCCCAUACUCUGCAUGAAAGGGGCCAAUAAUCCCCUUGUCUGCUCCUUUGAAUUGGGGGCUAGAGGCCCAGGCAGCCAGGUUGAGCCACACCUGCCUAUGCCCAGGCCUUACUCCUGCAGGGGAUCUAACUGGGGUGGCCACAGGCAAGGUAAGUGCCACAGCGUUGUACAUCAGGUAGGACUUUUGCCUUGCACUCGGCCAGUCAGGGCUUGAUCUCAGCACCUCACCUGGUCCUCGAGCAAACCAGAAGUGAUCCCUGAACACAGAUCCAGGAGUAAGCCCUGAGCACAGCCAGGUGUGGCCACAGAACAAGCAACAACAACAUAAAGGCAAGUGCCGUAGCUGCUGUGCUCCUCUGGAAGCCAUGUUGUUCUCCCUUGCCCUUGACGUGGUCAUCCUCAGUUGUCCACACUGUCUUGGUUGCCAUUGUGUCUUCCCGGUGUGGCGCAGGGGUCAUAUUCUGCGAUGGUUCAGGGCUGGCUCUGGGAUGGGAAGCAGAGGGGCCCGCACUUCCAGGGGACAUGUUGGCCUCGACUGUUGGCCCACAUCCCCUGGCCCUUUGGGAUCUUUUCCAAACGUGAUCACUUCUUGCCUCCUCCUCCCCUGGCACCCCAGUUCUACCCCCUCUCUUUUCUCCCUUGGGGUGUUGAGACUGUCCCCACAAUAGCCAUUCUCGGCCAGACUCCCUCUCCUCUGCUCAGAACCCCACGGCUCUCCAGCUUGUUCGUGGACAACUAUGCCCACGGGGUCCGCACGGCCCCUUCCGGCAUGGGCCCCUGCCUCUCUGCACGUCCUUGUUUCCCACACUCACCUCCUCCCUGCGUCCAGCAUCUGGGCCUUGGCUCUGCAGCUUCUCUGCCCGAAGCUCUGCGGUGAGAUGCCCCUUCCUUCACCUCCUCGUCUUGGAUCGAACAUGAGUCAGUUCAUCAGAACUGACUUUCAAGAGUGACGCAGGUACCGAUAGCCAGGAGUAGCACUCCCUAUUGGACGGAGGUAAAGUGGAAGGCAACCGAUGUCGGUUACCGAGAUACAAACACACAGGGCUGUCACAACAUGUUAGUAAUCUCUUACACACC